Molecule: long non-coding RNA, 2798 nt
Organism: Halichondria panicea
Lineage: Eukaryota; Metazoa; Porifera; Demospongiae; Suberitida; Halichondriidae
Exons: 10
Source: RefSeq, a predicted model, not a curated record
CACACAAGCCCCAUGCAGUAUGCACACGUACACAGUACAGUGCUAGACGCUCAAGUAUCCACUGCAGCAUGUAGACUAGAUCUACUGUUGAUUGAAGCAUAGAUAGUAGAAGAAGUAAGGGAGUAGUCUCUCGAAACAUGUCUGUCGAUUCCUCUACUAUAUAUCUAUAAUUGAAGCAACAAUUUAAGAAAGGUAUGGAACAGCUGGUCCAGCAGGGGCGGAUCCAGGGGUGAUUUUGAGGGGCUGAAGCCCCCCCCUUUUGAAAAAACUACCAUGUGUUGUAGUCUGACUCUACAACAAUUUUGCCACCAAUUAUGCAUCUGUAGACUCACUUGAAAUCACUUGAGAGAUGCUAGACAACAGCUACUAGGAGUAUAAAGGAUCUAGGGUAGCUAGCUGGACGUACCUAGCUAGCUAGCUAGCUGUACGUACGUACGUACAUCUGAUCAGUACAGUAUCACCAUAGUAUUAAAAGUAAGUGCAGAGGUCAACGUAUUCUACUCAUUAAUAUGAAAGUUCAAAGGUCAAAUCUUGCAAAAAAAAUUCGCCUCCGGCGAGGCUGCGUCCCUUUCUAGCUAGUCUAGCCCCCCCCUUUUGUUUUUCCUGGAUGCGCCCCUGUCCAGGUCUCCUUGGUGUCGUCCUUUCACUCCCUACACAAAGUACAAGUGUUUAAACAUUCUCGGUAUGGCUCCGUUGGUAUCAGGUAAACCUGAAAAUGCAUUCGUUGGUCCAUUAAAGUUCCUAUUUCAGUGGGUGGACCAACGGGCUGGAUAACAAGCAAGAAAAUAGUUUACUUACAUUGUACUUUGCAUGCAUUCUUUUUUAUAGCCGUAUCCGAGCUCAUUUAAAAGCUUGAUGUCUUCGUUGGCAUCAGGAAAACCUGCUCGUUAGUCCAUACAGGAGGCCGUUUCUGGAAACUAACGGCCUGGACGACAAGUAAAAAUGCAUGCACUUUGAAUGCAUUCUGUGUUCCCCAGUUUGGUGUGAUUAUGAGCUCAUUUCAAAGCUUGGUGUCUCCGUUGGCAUCAUUAUAAACUGGAAAUCCUGCUUGUUGGUCUAUGAGGUUUCCUGUUUCUGGAAACUGGAUAGACCAACGGCCUGAACGACAAGUAAAAAAAUAGUUCGCGCACUUUGAAUGUAUUCUUUUAAUGUGUUCUCCAGUUUGGUGUGAUUAUGAGCUCAUUUCAAAGCUUGGUGUCUCCGUUGCAUCAUUAUAAACUGGAAAUCCUGCUUGUUGGUCUAUGAGGUUUCCUGUUUCUGGAAACUGGAUAGACCAACGGCCUGGACGAAUAGUUCGCACACUUAGAAUGUAUUCUUUUUAAUGUGUUCUCCAGUUUGGUGUGAGCAAGCUUGCAUGGUGUCUCCGUUGGCAUCAUUAAACUGGAAAACCUGCUCGUUGGUCCAUAUAAGGUUUCAUGUUUCUGGAAACUGGGUGAACAAUUAAUGGCCUGAACGACAAGUAAGAAAAUAGUUCACGCACUUUCUUUUAAUGUGUUCCAGGUUGGUGUGAGCUUCAAAGCUUGCAUGGUGUCUCCGUUGGCAUCUUUAAACUAGAAAACCUGCUCGUUGGUCCAUAAGAUUUCCUGCUUCUGGAAACUAGGUGGACCAACGGCCUGGACGACAAGUAAGAAAUAGUUCACGCAGCUUGAAUGCAAUGUGUUCCAGGUUGGUGUCAGCUCAUUUCAAAGCUUAGUGUCUCUUGUUUGCAUCAAUUAAGGAAACUAGGUGGACCAACGGCCUGGACGACAAUUGGUUGUCAGAGCUUGGUGGCUCUCCGUUGGCAUCAUGCAGUUAUACUAAUAAACCUGGACGUUGGCCCAUAACCUUUUCUAUUUUGGAAACUGGGUGGACCAACGGCCUGGACGACACUGACAGGUGGGUAUCAGCUCAUUUCAAAUGCUGCAUGCAUGGUGGCUUUGUUGGAAACUCGAAAACCUGUUCCCUGCAUGGUCUAUCAGAAUAUCAUAUCCAGCCGGAAAUUGGAUAGACAACAGCCUAUACGACAGCUGCAUCUACAGACUCUAUUAUACAUCAGACUGAAUGAAAGCCUCACUGCGACUCUGUAUGCUGAAAUCUACAAUGACAUUUAAGGAUUCUGUUUCCGUGUAGAGUAAGAGGCUGGCACUGGAUUCUUGUUGCUGUCAAUCUCCCAAAGAAAACUGUCUAUGUUCUUGACUCCCAGUCGCCAAUUCUCUCACCUUUUACUGAGCAGGCAACAUGCAUGCACAAGACAUUAAUCAAUUCUUAAGCAUGUGCAUUCGAUCACCUGCAAAGAUGGAUAUACAGUGUGUGAAGGUGGCCGCUCAGGAUGGAGUUGAAUGUGGCAUUCAUGUGAUACACAAUAAUUAUUAUGACAAUGGUCAAGUUUUCUGGACUACCUGCAUCAAAGCACCUGCAAAAGUCUGUAAACACUGCUGAAUUACGUGGAUUGAUCCUGUUAUCAUGCUACUCCACUCAACAAAGCCAAAAGACAUCUCACGGCGUCAGAAGGAGUAAAAGGGUUGCUAAUACAGAUCUGCAGACUGAUGAUGAUGCCAGUGUAUCUGUUAAGAAGACAGCAAAAUCGAAGCCUUAACUGCUAUUUUUACUUAACAUUAAUUGUAUAGCUUGUAGUAUAGCUCAGAAUGUUUAUUUUUUAUUGUAUAUAAUUAUGUGCAAUAAUAUAGUUACUAGUUUCCCUCAUAUAGUUUCUCAUCUGUUAUUCCCCCAUGCAUAUAAUAUGAUUGUUUUGUGUGUAAUUUCUUCAGUCACCCCUUAUUGUAACGCAUGCAUGAUAAGUCAGAACAAGUGACGCCACA